UACAGAGGGUGCAAGCGUUAAUCGGAAUUACUGGGCGUAAAGGGCUUGUAGGCGGUCAUAUAAGUUAGAUGUGAAAACCCCGGGCUUAACCUGGGACGUGCAUUUAAUACUGUAUGGCUAGAGUAUGGUAGAGGAAAGGGGAAUUUCCGGUGUAGCAGUGAAAUGCGUAGAUAUCGGAAGGAACAUCAGUGGCGAAGGCGCCUUUCUGGACUAAUACUGACGCUGAGGAGCGAAGGCGUGGGGAGCAAACAGG
This 253-nucleotide ribosomal RNA is filed under the name uncultured bacterium. RNAcentral describes it as "partial 16S ribosomal RNA". It matches the Rfam family "Bacterial small subunit ribosomal RNA", at positions 524 to 776 of the family's 1533-position model. The record is from RNAcentral.